GCCUGGGUAGCUCAGUGGUUGAGCAUUUGCUUUUGGCUCAGGUUUUGAUCCCAGGGUCCUGGGAUCAACUCCCACACCAGGCU
RNAcentral lists this transfer RNA (83 nucleotides) under Canis lupus dingo (dingo). It matches the Rfam family "tRNA". From Rfam's summary of the family: Transfer RNA (tRNA) molecules are approximately 80 nucleotides in length. Their secondary structure includes four short double-helical elements and three loops (D, anti-codon, and T loops). The record is from Rfam by way of RNAcentral. Lineage: Eukaryota; Metazoa; Chordata; Mammalia; Carnivora; Canidae.